CCUCUUUUAGUUUGCUGAGAAUGAUGGCUUCCAGCUUCAUCCAUGUCCCUGCAAAGGACAGGAACCCAUUCGUUUUUAUGGUUGCAUAGUAUUCCGUGGUAUAUACGUGCCACAUUUUGUAUACCCACUGUAUCAUUCAUGGGCAUGAGAUAUCCUCUUAACAUGUGAUCCAGCAAUUGCACUCUUCGGUAUUUAUCCAAAAGAGUUGAAAACUUGUGUUCACAGAAAAACCUGCACAUGGACAUUUAUAGAAGCUUUAAUCAUAAUUGCUAAUUUUAUUCCAGCUUUAUUCAUAAUUGCUCAAACUUGGAGGCAACGAAGAAACCAAAAUGUUCUUCACUAGGUGAGUGGAUAAAUAACCUGUGAUAUAUCCAAACAAUGGAAUAUUCUUUAGCACUGAAGGGAAGUGAGCUGUCAAGCCAUGAAAAGACACGUAGGAACUUUAAACAUGCACGGCUACACAAAAGAGGCCCCUCGGAAAAGACUAAAUACUGUAAGCUUCCAACUAAAGGACAUCCCGAAAAAGGCCAGACUAUGGAGUGAAAAUGUCCGUGCUUCCCAGGUGUUGGGAAGAGGGAGAGAUGAGGAGGUGAAACACGGAGAUUUUUAGGAUUUUAGUGCAACUGCUCUGUACGAUGCUAUCAUGGUGGAUACAUGUCAUGACAUAUUUGUUCAAACCCAUAGAACAAGCACCAAGACGGAGCCCUCAUGUAAACUGUGGACUCUGGGUGACAAUAUGUCAACGUAGGUUCUUCAAUUAUUACAAAUGCUCCUUCUGGGCAGGAGUGUUGUUAGUUGGGGAGGCUGUGCACGUGGGGGAAGGGAAGGCAUAUAGAAGGUCUCUCUGCACCUUUCCCUCAAUUUUUCUGUGAACGUGAAACUGCCUAAAAGAUAAAGUGUAUUUUUAAAAAACAAAGGAAAAAAAGGAAACAAAAAGUCCUCACAAAAAUCAAAUGAGAAAAUGAUCACACUGGGUGCUUCAGGUCAAAAUGGAAGAACAAGGGCUGUAUUCACCAUCCCACCUGAUUUUUUUCUCACUGCUUUUCAGCAUUUUUUUUGGAGUCUAGUCAGUGCAAUAAGGCAAGUUGAAAUAUAUAAAAUGCACGCUUAUUAGAAAAUAAGAUUUAAAACUAUCUGUACCUUCAGGUGAUGUGAUCACCUGUGUGGAAAAUCUCCUGAAAUCACAAAAAGCCACUAAAACUGAUAAUAAUAAAUUACUUCCUAAUAAGUGAGUUUGGAAAGUUUGCAAGAUACAAGCUAAACACACAAGCAAUAUUUAUCUCUUUAUACACUGGCAAAGAAAUAAUUGGAAAUGGAAAUUUACAAAGCAAUAUUAAGACUAAAUCUGACAAAAGAUGUGUAAGAUCUAUACACUGAAAAGCAGGCAGUGAUGCUGAGAUAAAGAAAUAAAUGAAGUGAUAUACUGUGUUCAUGGAUCAGCAGGCUCAAUAUUGUUAAGAUGUGAGUUCUGCUCUUGUGGAUCAGAGGUUUAAUGCAAUUCCAAUCAAAAUCCCAGCAUCAUUUUAUUUUUAUUUUUUUUCCAGUAGAAAUGAACUAGCGGAUUCCAAAAUGUGUCCGGAAAUUUAAAGGACCCCAAAGAGCUAAGACAACUUGGAAAAAAAGGUGGAGGACUUACCUGAACUAUCAAGAUAGUGUGGUAUUGGUAUAGUAAGAGAAAACUGGGUUAAUGAAACCUCCUAGAGGGUCUAGUAAUAAUCUCACAAACAUGUUACAUAUACGUAGUGGAUUUUUGAAUAAAGGUUCAAAGACAUUAAAUUAGAGAAAGGACGAUAAUGAUGAUAGAAGGAUUAAAUACCAUAGGCUAAAAAGAGAAAAAAGAGCUCCUGCUAAAUAUUUUCACAUUGUUGGUGUCACUCAUGCAAUUCAAUUCACAUUUUGCGUGUCUAAAAGUUGAACAGACCUCUUCAUUCUCUUUCCCCAAUUCACUCCACAGAGAUGCUGAUGUCUUUCAGUGGAACUUGGAGGUUUGCUCUUCUUUUUAAAAUGACUCUUAGAUACUGUUUAUGCAAGAAGUUAUGGGACUAUAACUUACAAAUACUGUUCUAAACCUUGGAAUCACAUAUUCUCCUUUUUCUCUACUUAUCGUUUCUAAUCAGUUUCCCAUUUCCUCUUUCUCCUUCAUAUUUACACUGCAUUCCUUUUAGUUCAGGUUCUUGUUACCCCACUUGAUCUCUUGAUGUGGUCACCUGAAUGUCCUUCGUGUUCCAGCCUCCUGGAAUCCUUCCUUCAUGACUCUGCAGAACUGCCCUCCAGACCCGCAGGUGUGACCCGGAAUCAAGGAUCUCAAAGCCGAGUGGGAUCUGAAAGGCUAUCUAGACCAAUCCUCCAUUACAGACGUAAACCUUUUGAUGACUUCACUUCAGAGCCCAAAAUAUUUGCACUGCAGGCAGAAUCACCUAAAUCACUUAAUGUGAUGUUCAGUCUUCCCGUGGUAUUUUCCUAUCUGCAUCUCCCUACUUUCGCCCCUGAACCGUGAAGUUCCCGGGGUCCCUGGCCAGUGACUUGCUGAAGCCUCCCUCUCCAGGACCUCGGGAAAGAGGCACCCUACUCGAAUGCAUGCUUCUCCAGGAAUAUUUGCUCUGGUAAUAGCUGAAAAUAAAAAGCCAUCUCUAACAGUUUGAUUGCAGGUGGGUGGCCCCGGGGCAAGUGACUUUGGGAAGAUGGGGCUGGCUUGCGCCCUGUGUCCUGACUUUUCUUCUGAGCCUCUGCAAAACCACUUUUGAGAAAAUCGGGGUGGGUACUCCUGCGUGGCAUUUUCUUCUAAGUGAAAAUCUGUAGAAUUCCGGCAGUUGCGGGAGCUGGGGUUUUCUGUCACGACCUUGUGGGUUCAGGGGCUGCCCUUCUGUGGCCUGGGGCCUGUUUCUUAUCCAGACUUACCCAGACUCUUCUUAUCCAGAAGAGUCAGGUGCCUGGCCAGUGAACUGCCCAACUCCAAUUUGUAGGUCGCUCGUAUCGACCUAAAAUGAAAUUAAAAUAAUAAACUCUAAAACAUCC
Molecule: non-coding RNA, 3015 nt
Organism: Macaca mulatta (Rhesus monkey)
Lineage: Eukaryota; Metazoa; Chordata; Mammalia; Primates; Cercopithecidae
Source: RefSeq, a predicted model, not a curated record